This is a long non-coding RNA of Photinus pyralis (common eastern firefly), 392 nucleotides long. RefSeq lists it as uncharacterized. The record is from RefSeq and is a predicted model, not a curated record. The transcript has 3 exons. NCBI's taxonomy places the organism in Eukaryota, Metazoa, Arthropoda, Insecta, Coleoptera, Lampyridae.
GAAUUGACGGUUACUGACAUCGACAAUCUCAUUCCAUUAGAGAAAUUUGGAGUGAGAAUAAAAUUUAGGCAACAGUUAUUUGCUUGGAAACGAGAUAAUGGAUAUGUUACACCGCUUGCAAGUACUGUUUCUGUGAGUGCAGAUCCAUCAUUUAAUGCAAUUGAAAAUUGGUUAAAUACAGUUCCUGUUGUUUUAGAUGAGGUAACAGGGUCCGAAAAUUGUGUUAAAUUGGACCUACUAAGCCUAAUGAAAAGUUCAGUUACUGGAAAAGUAACUAUCCAUAAUUAUAAUACGCAUAAAACAUUAUCUGUGAAUGAUAGAAAUACUGUCUCAACUUUAAUCGCUGAGUUUUGGUUAAACAACAAUAUUAAAGUGUCUCAUAAGGAAUAUGA